GAUGAACGCUGGCGGCGUGCCUAAUACAUGCAAGUCGAGCGAACGGACGAGAAGCUUGCUUCUCUGAUGUUAGCGGCGGACGGGUGAGUAACACGUGGAUAACCUACCUAUAAGACUGGGAUAACUUCGGGAAACCGGAGCUAAUACCGGAUAAUAUUUUGAACCGCAUGGUUCAAAAGUGAAAGACGGUCUUGCUGUCACUUAUAGAUGGAUCCGCGCUGCAUUAGCUAGUUGGUAAGGUAACGGCUUACCAAGGCAACGAUGCAUAGCCGACCUGAGAGGGGGACCAGCAACACGGGACCUGAACCACGGCCCAGACUCCUACGGGAGGAAGCGGGAGGGAUUCUCCCGCAAGGGGCGAAAGCCUGACGGAGCAACGCCGCGGGAGUAAUGAGGGUCUUCGGAUCGUAAACCUUUUUUAUUAGGGAAAAACAUAUGUUUAAGUAACUGUGCACCUCUUGACGGUACCUAAUCAGAAAGCCACGGCUAACUACGGG
RNAcentral lists this ribosomal RNA (497 nucleotides) under uncultured bacterium. RNAcentral describes it as "partial 16S ribosomal RNA". It matches the Rfam family "Bacterial small subunit ribosomal RNA", at positions 28 to 507 of the family's 1533-position model. The record is from RNAcentral.